This is a long non-coding RNA of Scylla paramamosain (green mud crab), 1009 nucleotides long. RefSeq lists it as uncharacterized. The record is from RefSeq and is a predicted model, not a curated record. The transcript has 2 exons. Lineage: Eukaryota; Metazoa; Arthropoda; Malacostraca; Decapoda; Portunidae.
UGCAGUUACCUCCCGCUCGAGUGUUUCAGCCAAAACACGAACACCCUGACGUGACAAAUGCACUCCAUCCCUGGCGUACAAGGUGUCCCUGCCAUAGAAAAGGUCCCAGUUGUCGAUGAACGUCCAUCCAUUACUCCUACAAUGAUUUGCGAGCCUGCGAUUCACUGUAAUAGCCCUGGACAGCCACUCAGCACCAACUCCCCUCCUCGGCAAGACACCACAUACCACGAGGAUCCCUCCCUUGUCCCUAAUCCUGUCCAAAGCCUGUCGAAACCUCCUGAUAAGCUCCUCACUCCUGACCUUACCAAGGUCAUUCCCUCCCGCACUGAGAAAAACAAUGGGCUUGGUCCCAUCUUUUUCCAAGCACGUGUCUAGCCUAUCAGCUACCUUCCCUAUCCCGGCCCCCGGCAAACACACCCUCGACCUACGCUUCCUAUCACUAGCACAGAACGCACUAUUUAAAUGCCUAACCUAUCACCAAAUACAAACACUCUACCUUGGGGCAGGGUAACUGCAUCUGCCCCCUCCUUCUUGCCUCCUCCCGCCCUAUCCACCUCCUUCUCCUUCCCUUCCUCCAGCACAUUGAAGGGAUUCUUCGUCUCCACGCAAGGUGCCCUGAGGACCUUCACCCUCUUGGCUCCCCUGCACACAACCGACCACUGCUCCUCCGUCGCCUUACUAGGUAAGGUGACGGUGGGGCACGACCCUCCCACAGGUGCUGAGAUUCUCUCAUAGAACUCAGCCUGCAGGUCUGAGAUCCUCUCACGAAACUCAGCCUGCACCUCCGAGAUCCUUCGAUGGAACACAGCCUCCACCUCUGAGAUCUUCGCAACGAAGGCCUUGAGAACAGGAGAACUAACACAACCAGACGACUCAGCAACACAAGGCGCCAUGUCUACACUAGCCAGCUAUAGCGUCAGGUCACUGCUCACUAUACACGUCCGUUCACUAGGAACCCUGACCUGAGACAAAGAUGAAUAAAUCCAUAUUUUUCGAACUAGAUUCUUGU